This 497-nucleotide ribosomal RNA is filed under the name uncultured bacterium. RNAcentral describes it as "partial 16S ribosomal RNA". It matches the Rfam family "Bacterial small subunit ribosomal RNA", at positions 28 to 507 of the family's 1533-position model. The record is from RNAcentral.
GAUGAACGCUGGCGGCGUGCCUAAUACAUGCAAGUCGAGCGAACAGACGAGGAGCUUGCUCCUCUGACGUUAGCGGCGGACGGGUGAGUAACACGUGGAUAACCUACCUAUAAGACUGGGAUAACUUCGGGAAACCGGAGCUAAUACCGGAUAAUAUAUUGAACCGCAUGGUUCAAUAGUGAAAGACGGUUUUGCUGUCACUUAUAUAUGGAUCCGCGCCGCAUUAGCUAGUUGGUAAGGUAACGGCUUACCAAGGCAACGAUGCGUAGCCGACCUGAGAGGGUGAUCGGCCACACUGGAACUGAGACACGGUCCAGACUCCUACGGGAGGCAGCAGUAGGGAAUCUUCCGCAAUGGGCGAAAGCUUGACGGAGCAACGCCGCGUGAGUGAUGAAGGUCUUCGGAUCGUAAAACUCUGUUAUUAGGGAAGAACAAAUGUGUAAGUAACUAUGCACGUCUUGACGGUACCUAAUCAGAAAGCCACGGCUAACUACGUG